UGGGAUAAUCCCGCGAAAGCGGGACUAAUACCGGAUGUGACAGUUGGGAGGCAUCUCCUGGUUGUUAAAGUUGGGGACCGCAAGGCCUGACGCUUCACGAUGAACCCGCGGCCUAUCAGCUAGUUGGCGAGGUAACGGCUCACCAAGGCUAAGACGGGUAGCUGGUCUGAGAGGACGACCAGCCACACUGGAACUGAGACACGGUCCAGACACCUACGGGUGGCAGCAGUCGAGAAUUUUUCACAAUGGGGGAAACCCUGAUGGAGCGACGCCGCGUGGGGGAUGAAUGGCUUCGGCCCGUAAACCCCUGUCAUUUGCGAGCAAGGCGCAUUAUUUAAAAGAUGAUGUGUUGAUAGUAGCGAAAGAGGAAGGGACGGCUAACUUUGUGCCAGCAGCCGCGGUAAUACAGAGGUCCCGAGCGUUGUUCGGAUUCACUGGGCGUAAAGGGUGCGUAGGUGGUGGGGUAAGUCGGAUGUGAAAUCUCGGAGCUCAACUCCGAA
RNAcentral lists this ribosomal RNA (500 nucleotides) under uncultured bacterium. RNAcentral's name for it is "bacterial SSU rRNA". It matches the Rfam family "Bacterial small subunit ribosomal RNA", at positions 139 to 619 of the family's 1533-position model. The record is from RNAcentral.